CCUACGGGUGGCUGCAGUGGGGAAUAUUGCACAAUGGGCGCAAGCCUGGUGCAGCCAUGCCGCGUGUGUGAAGAAGGCCUUCGGGUUGUAAAGCACUUUCAGCGGGGAGGAAGGCGGUGAGGUUAAUAACCUCAUCGAUUGACGUUACCCGCAGAAGAAGCACCGGCUAACUCCGUGCCAGCAGCCGCGGUAAUACGGAGGGUGCAAGCGUUAAUCGGAAUUACUGGGCGUAAAGCGCACGCAGGCGGUCUGUCAAGUCGGAUGUGAAAUCCCCGGGCUCAACCUGGGAACUGCAUUCGAAACUGGCAGGCUAGAGUCUUGUAGAGGGGGGUAGAAUUCCAGGUGUAGCGGUGAAAUGCGUAGAGAUCUGGAGGAAUACCGGUGGCGAAGGCGGCCCCCUGGACAAAGACUGACGCUCAGGUGCGAAAGCGUGGGGAGCAAACAGGAUUAGAUACCCCGGUAGUC
Molecule: ribosomal RNA, 465 nt
Filed under: uncultured Klebsiella sp.
Lineage: Bacteria; Pseudomonadati; Pseudomonadota; Gammaproteobacteria; Enterobacterales; Enterobacteriaceae
Description: bacterial SSU rRNA
Rfam family: Bacterial small subunit ribosomal RNA
Source: RNAcentral